RNAcentral lists this ribosomal RNA (468 nucleotides) under uncultured bacterium. Its description in RNAcentral is "partial 16S ribosomal RNA". It matches the Rfam family "Bacterial small subunit ribosomal RNA", at positions 28 to 507 of the family's 1533-position model. The record is from RNAcentral.
GACGAACGCUGGCGGCGUGCUUAACACAUGCAAGUCGAACGGAAAAGCCCUGCUUUUGUGGGGUGCUCGAGUGGCGAACGGGUGAGUAACACGUGAGUCACCUGCCCUUGACUUUGGGAUAACUUCAGGAAACUGGGGCUAAUACCUGAUAGGAGCUCCUGCUGCAUGGUGGGGGUUGGAAAGUUUCGGCGGUUGGGGCUGGACGCGCGGCUUAUCAGCUUGUUGGUGGGGUAGUGGCUUACCAAGGGUUUGACGGGUAGCCGGCCUGAGAGGGUGACCGGCGACAUUGGGACUGAGAUACGGCCCAGACUCCUACGGGAGGCAGCAGUGGGGAAUAUUGCACAAUGGGCGGAAGCCUGAUGCAGCAACGCCGCGUGCGGGAUGACGGCCUUCGGGUUGUAAACCGCUUUAGCCUGUGACGAAGCGUGAGUGACGGUAAUGGGUAAAGAAGCACCGGCUAACUACGUG